GUCUCUUUCGUCUAUAGGUUAGGACAGUACCCUUUCACGGUGAAAAGACGGGUUCGAUUCCCGUAAGAGAUA
This 72-nucleotide transfer RNA is filed under the name Flavobacterium sp. Its description in RNAcentral is "tRNA-Glu". It matches the Rfam family "tRNA". Rfam says of the family: Transfer RNA (tRNA) molecules are approximately 80 nucleotides in length. Their secondary structure includes four short double-helical elements and three loops (D, anti-codon, and T loops). Lineage: Bacteria; Pseudomonadati; Bacteroidota; Flavobacteriia; Flavobacteriales; Flavobacteriaceae. The record is from RNAcentral.